This is a non-coding RNA of Heterocephalus glaber (naked mole-rat), 313 nucleotides long. NCBI's taxonomy places the organism in Eukaryota, Metazoa, Chordata, Mammalia, Rodentia, Bathyergidae. The record is from RefSeq and is a predicted model, not a curated record.
CACUGAAUGGCUGGGUUUUGGAGAACAGACCAACGCCGCCUCUGCAUGUAUGAAUCGGGAGCUGGAGUAGGAGAUUUCAUAGUGAAAAUUUAACAGGCUGGACUGGAAUGGGAAUGAUCACCUGAGGGAAAAUACUCCUCCUUUCCUGAGGUAGUAAUUCACUGGUGACCAAAUCUGUUUCAUGGCUCAUGUUUCAAGGGAAGAUCCCUGUGAUGGAAGCCACCCUGUAGUUUUGGCAAUUUUGGCUCUGUUAGACACAGAAGACAAUCAGCCUUGGGGCCCUUCAUUACUGAGUUUUGCUGUUAAUAUCCCA